This 497-nucleotide ribosomal RNA is filed under the name uncultured bacterium. RNAcentral's name for it is "partial 16S ribosomal RNA". It matches the Rfam family "Bacterial small subunit ribosomal RNA", at positions 28 to 507 of the family's 1533-position model. The record is from RNAcentral.
GACGAACGCUGGCGGCGUGCCUAAUACAUGCGAGUUGAGCGAUGAAGCUUGGUGCUUGCACCAAUUUGAAGAGCAGCGAACGGGUGAGUAACGCGUGGGGAAUCUGCCUUUGAGCGGGGGACAACAUUUGGAAACGAAUGCUAAUACCGCAUAACAACUUUAAACAUAAGUUUUAAGUUUGAAAGAUGCAAUUGCAUCACUCAAAGAUGAUCCCGCGUUGUAUUAGCUAGUUGGUGAGGUAAAGGCUCACCAAGGCGAUGAUACAUAGCCGACCUGAGAGGGUGAUCGGCCACAUUGGGACUGAGACACGGCCCAAACUCCUACGGGAGGCAGCAGUAGGGAAUCUUCGGCAAUGGACGAAAGUCUGACCGAGCAACGCCGCGUGAGUGAAGAAGGUUUUCGGAUCGUAAAACUCUGUUGGUAGAGAAGAACGUUGGUGAGAGUGGAAAGCUCAUCAAGUGACGGUAACUACCCAGAAAGGGACGGUUAACUACGUG